UCCAGAAAUCCCACCCGCUGCCCUCGCAGCCACCCCACGACCACCGAUUUGCCUUCGUAUCUGACGCCCGCCGCCACCUCCAUGGCGCGUCCGAGUUAAGUGCUCUUUGCCGGACGAGUUUGGGUGCUCUUUCCAACGCUGGAGGAUCUUUGUACCUGUAGAUACCUACGUCCCUGCCAUUUUUCAUGGUGCAUAACCUACACCACCCCCAUCAGUGGAACCUUUGCCGACGCUAGAAGAGAUGAGAUUCAGUUGUCUACUUUGUUUUCUGGCAAGGAUGAUGUCGCGCAUGCCUCUUUUACGAUACUGGUCGAUAGCAGAGAUGAGUUCUUCUGCAAGAAGGUGCUCGAUAAGGUUGUACAAUGAGGAGUCCAAUGACGACUUGUUGAUGGUGUCUGCAUUCUCAUUUAUGAGCACAAUGUCGCAGAUUCCGGAGUAUCAUGGUUUAGUCAAGGGAUGUGCUAGGGCCUUGGACUGGAAAAUAAAAGGCGGUCAUCUGUAAAUCUUCGGGGACUACUUCCACCGCACGAAACAUAUGUACACUCCGGCUAUGCUUCGAUGUCGUUUUAGGAUGUCAAGACCUUUGUUCCGAAGGCUCAUGGAUGGAGUCAAGACUUAUCAAGACUACUUUUUCUACAAAGAGAAUGUCAUUUGAAAGAAAUUCUACACAGGAAAUAUUCUCGGAAUUGGACGAAACAAAAGCCCACGGCCCUAUUUUCCACGGAGUGUUCCAGAACAUCGAAGAAGAGUCGGAGACGGCCAGCAGGGGCUACCCCAUAGGGCGGCGCGGCCCCACCUCCUGCCGCGCCCAGGUGUGGGGAGGCCACCCCCUGGCUCCCCCGACGCUGCCUCUUUGCCUAUAUAUUCCUUCGUAUCGGAAAACCCUAGUACCGAGAGCCAAAAUACGAGAAAAGUUCCAGAGACGCCGCCGCCGUCAACCCCAUCUCGGGGGGUUCUGAAGAUCACCUCCGGCACCCUGCCGGAGAGAGGAAUCAU
Long non-coding RNA from Lolium perenne, 996 nucleotides. RefSeq lists it as uncharacterized. The record is from RefSeq and is a predicted model, not a curated record. NCBI's taxonomy places the organism in Eukaryota, Viridiplantae, Streptophyta, Magnoliopsida, Poales, Poaceae.